RNAcentral lists this ribosomal RNA (659 nucleotides) under uncultured bacterium. Its description in RNAcentral is "bacterial SSU rRNA". It matches the Rfam family "Bacterial small subunit ribosomal RNA", at positions 8 to 693 of the family's 1533-position model. The record is from RNAcentral.
AGAGUUUGAUCCUGGCUCAGGACGAACGCUGGCGGUGUGCUUCACACAUGCAAGUCGAACGGAGUAGCAAUACUCAGUGGCGGACGGGUGAGUAACACGUGGGAAUCUACCAUUAGGUGGGGAAUAACAGGCCGAAAGGACUGCUAAUGCCGCAUAUGUAGGCAUCUCGACAGAGAUGUUUAUGAAAGGAGUAAUCCGCCUUUUGAUGAGCCCGCGUCCGAUUAGCUAGUUGGUAGGGUAAAAGCCUACCAAGGCGACGAUCGGUAGGUGGUCUGAGAGGAUGAUCACCCACAAUGGGACUGAGACACGGCCCAUACUCCUACGGGAGGCAGCAGUGGGGAAUUUUACGCAAUGGGGGAAACCCUGACGCAGCGACACCGCGUGAGCGAAGAAGCCCUUUGGGGUGUAAAGCUCUGUCAACAGGAACGAAACAAAUGACGGUACCUGUGGAGGAAGCAUCGGCUAACUACGUGCCAGCAGCCGCGGUAAGACGUAGGAUGCAAGCGUUGUCCGGAUUUAUUGGGCGUAAAGAGUUCGUAGGCGGUUUGUUAAGUCUGAUGUUAAAGACCGGGGCUCAACCUCGGAAAUGCAUUGGAUACUGGCAGACUGGAGUGCAGUAGAGGCUAGUGGAAUUCCCAGUGUAGCGGUGAAAUGCGUAG